Non-coding RNA from Triticum aestivum (bread wheat), 117 nucleotides. The record is from Rfam. Lineage: Eukaryota; Viridiplantae; Streptophyta; Magnoliopsida; Poales; Poaceae.
UGGCGAUGAUUCUAAAUUUAAGACUUGUUUCUCAAAACAUUCACAGUUGCCGCCUACCAGCUUUCGCCUUGCCAGGCUUGAGAGCUGAUGCUGCUAAUUCCUUGGAUGUCUGGGCAU